This 526-nucleotide long non-coding RNA is filed under the name Dermacentor andersoni. RNAcentral's name for it is "uncharacterized LOC126534133". Lineage: Eukaryota; Metazoa; Arthropoda; Arachnida; Ixodida; Ixodidae. The record is from RNAcentral.
GUGCACAAUGGCAUAUUCUACAGCACGCGAGGUUUCCAGUAUGUUUUCUCCUAGUGUUACCACAGCUGUGCUGCUUUUCCUCAUUGUUGCAGCCACGGCGAGUCAAACCUUAGGCAGUGUAUCUCCGAAAGACUUAUGCCUCUUGGACCAAAGAGUACCCGGAUGGGGAGGAAACAACGGAGGACAGAUACUAAGAUGAAAGGCCAGGCCUGUAAGAACACCGAGGAGUGUCAAAUGCAUUUAUGUUGCCGAGUACGCCAAUCGGUGGGUACUUGCCAACCGCUGGCUAUGUGCGGACAAAGGUGCUCGGAAGAUCAGCUCAGGGGUGGCAGCUAUUAUAUGUACUGCCCCUGCAAAGCCGGUAUAGGGGCUUGUGAGAACGGUACAUGCUUGCGAUGACUCUUCAAAUAUAUGGUCCUUAGCUGCUGUGAAACCAGGUGGCAAUGUGUGGGAAAAUCUUAUACCGUCUUCGUGUACAGAAAAUUCUAACCAGACUACUAUAAAGAUAACCUUACUGUAUAUAUAU